This is a non-coding RNA of Pocillopora verrucosa, 613 nucleotides long. The record is from RefSeq and is a predicted model, not a curated record. NCBI's taxonomy places the organism in Eukaryota, Metazoa, Cnidaria, Anthozoa, Scleractinia, Pocilloporidae.
AACGUGUCUUCUGCGUGUCACUUCCCAACUAGGGGAGGGAUGCAAUGCAAAAUUGUGAGACGAUCGGUUGGAGAGCUUAGGAAUGGUUUGGAGUGCACUGGUGAUCGAAGUUGUGCUUUUCUGUCGGAACUAGUGUAGUAAGGCAAGGAUGAAAACCAGCAGCAAAGCAAAGCAAAAAAAAGUGCUGAGGAGUCACUUGAGUCUGUAAAUGGAAAGAAAACACUGAAAAAUGACGAUUGUAGUUGCAAUGGAUGCCAGAAAUAUUUUUCUGAAAAACUGGUGUAGUGUUGUCAUUCAGACAUAGAGAGACUAUUCCUUCUUCACUGCCAAAGGCUAACUGAACUUUAUUGAUUAACACGUUACACAUAUACAAGUAUAAGAGUUUACUGACUUGAAUUGCAAGUAGUACAUUUACUGAAUUAAGUACAAAGUGCUCACCUUAGAACCCAUAUUAAGGUGGUUGUCAAUAAUUAAGAUAGGUACAUGUAUAAUCAAUACACUACAACUGGCAGAUACAGUUUCUAUUGUACUCCAGUAUAUACAUCUUUCCCAAAAGAUUGUAUUUCUUUAGAGAAGAAUGAAAACUUAAAAGCAUUCUUUAAUCAGUAUAAAA